UCCCUGGUGUCUCAGACAGUAGAGAAUCUGCCUGCAACGCAAGAGACCCUGGUUUGAUCCCUGGCUUGGAAA
This 72-nucleotide transfer RNA is filed under the name Bos taurus (domestic cattle). It matches the Rfam family "tRNA". Rfam says of the family: Transfer RNA (tRNA) molecules are approximately 80 nucleotides in length. Their secondary structure includes four short double-helical elements and three loops (D, anti-codon, and T loops). The record is from Rfam by way of RNAcentral. Lineage: Eukaryota; Metazoa; Chordata; Mammalia; Artiodactyla; Bovidae. RNAcentral also lists the same sequence under 3 other names.